This 429-nucleotide ribosomal RNA is filed under the name Chloroflexota bacterium. RNAcentral describes it as "Chloroflexi bacterium partial 16S ribosomal RNA". It matches the Rfam family "Bacterial small subunit ribosomal RNA", at positions 355 to 776 of the family's 1533-position model. The record is from RNAcentral. Lineage: Bacteria; Bacillati; Chloroflexota.
UGGUGAAUAUUGCACAAUGGGCGCAAGCCUGAUGCAGCCAUGCCGCGUGUAUGAAGAAGGCCUUCGGGUUGUAAAGUACUUUCAGCGGGGUGGAAGGGAGUAAAGUUAAUACCUUUGCUCAUUGACGUUACCCGCAGAAGAAGCACCGGCUAACUCUGUGCCAGCAGCCGCGGUAAUACGGAGGGUGCAAGCGUUAAUCGGAAUUACUGGGCGUAAAGCGCACGCAGGCGGUUUGUUAAGUCAGAUGUGAAAUCCCCGGGCUCAACCUGGGAACUGCAUCUGAUACUGGCAAGCUUGAGUCUCGUAGAGGGGGGUAGCAUUCCAGGUGUAGCGGUGAAAUGCGUAAAGAUCUGGAGGAAUACCGGUGGCGAAGGCGGCCCCCUGGACGAAGACUAACGCUCAGGUGCGAAAGCGUGGGGAGCAAACAUG